Molecule: ribosomal RNA, 253 nt
Filed under: uncultured bacterium
Lineage: Bacteria
Description: partial 16S ribosomal RNA
Rfam family: Bacterial small subunit ribosomal RNA
Source: RNAcentral
GACAGGGGUCUCGAGCGUUAUUCGGAAUUACUGGGCUUAAAGGGUGCGUAGGCCGGCCCGCAAGUGCUUUGUGAAAUCCCCCGGCUCAACCGGGGAACAGCUCGGCAUACUGCGGGUCUUGAGGAAGGCAGGGGUCGCCAGAACUGUAGGUGGAGCGGUGAAAUGCGUAGAUAUCAUCUGGAACGCCAAUGGUGAAAACAGCUCGCUGGGGGUUUGCAGACGCUGAGACACGAAAGCCAGGGGAGCGAACGGG